UACAGAAUGAGAGAGAUAUUUCGUAUUCUAAAACUAAUUUUUCUCACAUGUUUGUUAGAUAUGUUGAAAAUACAAACAAAAUUUUUAAUGUUUAGUACGUAUAUCCAUCCCCUCUUUUUCAAUUCAUUAGUUCAAGAUACAGCUCUGAAGAAUAUGCAAUAACCUACAUUAUUCUAACAUGUGAAGACCAAUGAAAACAUUUGAUAUGAUUUGAAAACAAGGCCAAUUAAGUAGGAACUUUGGGUUUCGUAGACAUAAAUUAUAAUUCAACAUUUUCGAUUAAUAUUUUAAAUUUUCUUUAUUUCAUAUUCUAGUAUAUUUAAUAACAUGUUUAUAUUUUGUGAUGCAUCUGAUGUAUAAAUCCAGUGGCAGAUCCGGGAAAGAGCUCUUAGUUCCGAUCCGUUUGUACGGGGAACAUGUGGUUGCAACCCCCUCUUUAAUUGCCUGUUCGAUUUUUAUGUUUGCAGUGUCGAAAAGGGAGAUAGACAGCAGUUUUAUCAAGAAGUUAUGUGAAAGUUCUGCUAUACAUCCGACAGUCAGGAAUUAUUCUGAAGUACACAUGUCGACCAGAGGCAUAGAACAGAGAGGAGAGGUUUUAAAGUACCAGAUGCUUAUCUGAGAUUCCAAUUUGAACUAAAGAAAGCAAUAUAUAAAGAUAUGUAGGAGAAAUAAUCUAUAUGAAUAAAGUUAUGCCACAAAAG
RNAcentral lists this long non-coding RNA (701 nucleotides) under Mytilus galloprovincialis (Mediterranean mussel). Lineage: Eukaryota; Metazoa; Mollusca; Bivalvia; Mytilida; Mytilidae. The record is from RNAcentral.